Molecule: non-coding RNA, 74 nt
Organism: Perca fluviatilis (European perch)
Lineage: Eukaryota; Metazoa; Chordata; Actinopteri; Perciformes; Percidae
Source: the annotation of a RefSeq genome assembly
UCUUCGAUAGCUCAGUUGGUAGAGCGGAGGACUGUAGAUCCUUAGGUGGCUGGUUUAAUUCCGGCUCGAAGGAA